Molecule: long non-coding RNA, 89 nt
Organism: Sinocyclocheilus rhinocerous
Lineage: Eukaryota; Metazoa; Chordata; Actinopteri; Cypriniformes; Cyprinidae
Exons: 3
Source: RefSeq, a predicted model, not a curated record
UGAACUCUCAUGUGACCCUUAAGGUCUCCUUUUCGUGAGAAGCUCUUUCCACACUGUUGACAUGUGAAAGGUUUCUCUCCAGUGUGAAU